UAAGGAAUAUUGGUCAAUGGACGCAAGUCUGAACCAGCCAUGCCGCGUGAAGGAUUAAGGCCCUCUGGGUUGUAAACUUCUUUUAUAGGGGAAGAAAUGUGACGGUUCUCCGUCACUUGACGGUACCCUGGGAAUAAGCACCGGCUAACUCCGUGCCAGCAGCCGCGGUGAUACGGAGGGUGCAAGCGUUAUCCGGAUUCACUGGGGUUAAAGGGUGCGUAGGUGGGCAGAUAAGUCAGUGGUGAAAUCUUCCGGCUUAACCGGGAAACUGCCGUUGAUACUAUUUGUCUUGAAUAUUGCGGAGGUAAGCGGAAUAUGUCAUGUAGCGGUGAAAUGCUUAGAUAUGACAUAGAACACCAAUUGUGAAGGCAGCUUACUACACAAUCAUUGACACUGAGGCACGAAAGCGUGGGUAGCGAACA
This 422-nucleotide ribosomal RNA is filed under the name uncultured bacterium. Its description in RNAcentral is "bacterial SSU rRNA". It matches the Rfam family "Bacterial small subunit ribosomal RNA", at positions 355 to 774 of the family's 1533-position model. The record is from RNAcentral.